UACGUAGGGGGCAAGCGUUAUCCGGAAUCACUGGGCGUAAAGGGUGCGUAGGUGGUCCAUCAAGUCAGAAGUGAAAGGCAGUGGCUUAACCACUGUAAGCUUUUGAAACUGACGGACUUGAGUGCAGGAGAGGUAAGUGGAAUUCCUAGUGUAGCGGUGAAAUGCGUAGAUAUUAGGAGGAACACCAGUGGCGAAGGCGACUUACUGGACUGUAACUGACACUGAGGCACGAAAGCGUGGGGAGCGAACAGG
Molecule: ribosomal RNA, 252 nt
Filed under: uncultured bacterium
Lineage: Bacteria
Description: partial 16S ribosomal RNA
Rfam family: Bacterial small subunit ribosomal RNA
Source: RNAcentral